This 1493-nucleotide ribosomal RNA is filed under the name uncultured bacterium. Its description in RNAcentral is "16S ribosomal RNA". It matches the Rfam family "Bacterial small subunit ribosomal RNA". The record is from RNAcentral.
AGAGUUUGAUCCUGGCUCAGGACGAACGUUGGCGGCGUGCUUAACACAUGCAAGUCGAGCGGUUUGGUGGUGGGUGGUUAGUGGUUAGUCUUUGGGGGUUUUUCGGUGAGUAACGCGUGGAUAAUCUGCCUGUAAGACAGGGAUAACGCCGGGAAACCGGUGCUAAUACCCGAUAACCUCUUUGAAUCGCAUGGUUUGAAGAGAAAAGGUGGCCUCUUUACAAUGCUACCACUGCGUCCCAUUAGCCAGUUGGUGGGGUAAAGGCCUACCAAAGCGACGAUGGGUAGCCGGCCUGAGAGGGUGACCGGCCACACUGGAACUGAGAUACGGUCCAGACUCCUACGGGAGGCAGCACGAAAGCCUGACGGAGCAACGCCGCGUGAGCGAAGAAGGUCUUCGGAUUGUAAAGCUCUGUGAUAUUGGACGAACAAUUUCCCGUAAAUAAUGGGAAGGAAUGACGGUACAAUAAGAGGAAGCCACGGCUAACUACGUGCCAGCAGCCGCGGUAAUACGUAGGUGGCAAACGUUGUCCGGAAUUACUGGGCGUAAAGGGCGAGUAGGUGGUUUAUUAAGUCAGAAGUGAAAACUCCGGGCUCAACUCGGAGACUGCUCCUGAAACUGGUAGACUUGAGUGCAAGAGAGGGAAGUGGAAUUCCUAGUGUAGCGGUGAAAUGCGUAGAUAUUAGGAGGAACACCGGUGGCGAAGGCGGCUAUCUGGACCGAUACUGACGCUGAGACGCGAAAGCGUGGGGAGCAAACAGGAUUAGAUACCCUGGUAGUCCACGCCGUAAACGAUGGGUACUAGGUGUUGCGGGUAUUGACCCCUGCAGUGCCGAAGCUAACGCAUUAAGUACCCCGCCUGGGGAGUACGGUCGCAAGACUAAAACUCAAAGGAAUUGACGGGGGCCCGCACAAGCGGUGGAGCAUGUGGUUUAAUUCGACGCAACGCGAAGAACCUUACCAAGGCUUGACAUCCUGUGACAGCUAUAGAAAUAUAGACUUCUUAGUUUACUAAGACACAGAGACAGGUGGUGCAUGGUUGUCGUCAGCUCGUGUCGUGAGAUGUUGGGUUAAGUCCCGCAACGAGCGCAACCCUUGCCUUUAGUUGCCAGCACAUAAUGGUGGGCACUCUAGGGGGACUGCCGGUGACAAACCGGAGGAAGGUGGGGAUGACGUCAAAUCAUCAUGCCCUUUAUGACCUGGGCUACACACGUACUACAAUGGCCGGUACAAAGGGCAGCAACACAGCGAUGUGAAGCCAAUCCCAUAAAGCCGGUUCUCAGUUCGGAUUGGAGUCUGCAACUCGACCCCAUGAAGUUGGAAUCGCUAGUAAUCGCGGAUCAGCAUGCCGCGGUGAAUAUGUUCCCGGGCCUUGUACACACCGCCCGUCACACCACGAAAGUCUGCAACACCCGAAGCCGAUGUAGCAACCGUAAGGAGCAAGUCGUCGAAGGUGGGGCCGAUGAUUGGGGUGAAGUCGUAACAAGGUAACC